CUUUGGCGAGGUCCAUUAAAAAUAGGCAACCCCCCAUAGAAUUUUGUUUGGAGUCCUGAAUCAAGCAACAGAAUCCAAGGGAUUUUUCCUUAACAGUAGUCUCAAUUCUACUGGAAGUCUGGAAACCUUCUUAAUGGCAACUGUUAGAUACUUGCAGCAGAGAAAUAUCGUCAAAUUGUAUUUUUAUACUUGAAAGCUGUUUCGAGAUAUUCAAUGCCGAGGUUCCAUUCUUGUCUGAAAUUAAUUGCUGUUUUGAGAUGUCAGUCCAAUUUUUUAGUGUAAAAAAAUGUGCAAUUUUU
Molecule: long non-coding RNA, 299 nt
Organism: Olea europaea var. sylvestris
Lineage: Eukaryota; Viridiplantae; Streptophyta; Magnoliopsida; Lamiales; Oleaceae
Exons: 2
Source: RefSeq, a predicted model, not a curated record